UAUUAGUCAAAACCAUUCAGAUCCUGGUGAUCCCUUCCAUCUCUUCUGCAAUUAUAUGAUUCUUUGAAGUAAAUGGAAUCAAGUAGCUCAUACCCAGAGGGUCUUAGCCACCUAGGUUCUGCACACAGGUGGACUGAGGGCAGCCCAACCGAUUCCCCUGCACAGGGCAUAGGGGCCAAGGGGCCUUCUUCUCAAAGUCUAGUAAGUGCUGGGCUUUGGGAAGGAGGCUUGAGAUUCUGACAGGAUCCUAGAGUCCUCCUUCCCAAAGCUUUGGGAAAUAGGAGGGAGGGCUCUAGGACCCUGUCAGAACUUCACGCCUCCUUCCCAAAGCCCGGGGCCUUGCUUACCUGGCUUUGGAAAGGUAGCAGAAGGGCUGGGGGCAGGUGUCCAAUUUUGGCCUCGGACAGGAUGCCAUAUUACCAAGGUCCACCCCCAUCCUACUCAGAGUAGACCCACUGAAAUUAAUAAACCUAAAUUAGUCAUGUCCAUUAAUUUAUAUGGAUCUAUUCUGAGUAGGACUAGCAUUGGAUGCAACCCAUUGAUAUUUACUUAAGAUUUACUUAAGUGUGACAUUGCCCAGAGUUCCCUGACCACGAAUGGACCCUCCAAUCUGGAUUGUCUAUAGAAUUCCGGGUUGGCGCCAUCGGGACUUCCGGGUUGGCGCCAUCGGUAAUGGCGGAUUCCCUCUGACUUUCCGAGGGACCAGCUCUGCGGGAUCGGGUCUUACCGCUGCGGCGAAGCGGGGGCCCUUCAAAAAUCACAGGCGGGUGAAGCCUGUGAACGUGGGACUCGGCAGGCACCCUUUGCGCCCCCCAAUUUGCGAAGGAACCCAUUUACGGGCUCCGGAGCAAAACGGGGUGAGCGGCGCGGUGCUGAGAGUCGACUGCUUCUUCCGCGGAGUGAAGCCGCACAGCCGUUAUUGGAGAGCGCUGACUUUUUCCUGGGACAAUUUGGUUUCAAAAGCAACUACCCGUGAGUAGGAUAAAAUUGGAUUUAAAGGGAGAAAAACAAUUAAUUCGGUAUCGAAGCGGGGAGGCAUAAACAGGAAGUCCGCCUUCCGUUUCUUGUAAACAGAUCAAAGCAAAGAGACUGUAAGCAGAAACUCUGAAAGACGUUUGAAAAAGGACUCAAAUCCUAACAUCAGAUAAGCGAUCUCCCGUCCGGAUUGCAGGAAGGGAGGGGGGAAAGGUUUGAACUGUAUUUUUCUGCAAAAAAAGAGAGGAAAGGAAGCUAAAAUCCACCGCUUAGAGCCUGGGAACGGACUGCCUAGGGACAAUAGGAAUGCCGUUCUGUGAAAAGCACUACUGGUAAAUAGAGUACUGUUGACAGCUAACUCUGCAAGAGAGAUACAGUGUUUCUGGACUUCUCCUGGUUUUAAAGUAACUGGAGAUUAAGCGCAAUUGAAACUGUCGUCUUUGUGAAUUGGGGGAUUUAAAAAGGUUAUUUUCUCUUUAAAGCUACAAGUUUGGACUGUUACUGUGUCCCCCUAGAGGAGGUUUGACAUUGUUACAAUAACAACUGGGCCAGGGGGAUUUUCCACUUCAAAACAAAUCCUAGCCGCGGGACUGACCUUGGAUUCUAACUAGAGUGUUAUGGCAGAUGGAAGAGGAAAGUUAGAGUUGCUUCAGGAAAAAACUACGAGGUCUGGUAGAUCCUUUCGUACAGAUACUGGGUGGCAGCGGAGAGCAUCAACAUCUGGUCCGUCUGGACCAUCUGGAUUAUCAGGGGCUGCACCUGUACAAGUUAAACCAAAAGGAAUGUCGUCUGAAGACGUUUUAGCUUUGGCACUAGGAAAAAUUAAUGAAUCUUUGGAAAACCUAAGUAAACAAGUAGCUGAAACAAAUAAACAAGUAGCUGAAGCAUCAGUUAAAAUUGAUCAAAAUACUACAAGUAUUAACAAUUUGGGACAGAAGGUGAACACCAACACAGAGACUAUUGAGAAAUUGUUACAGGAAUCUACUUUGACCCGAAAGACAGCUGAAGAAGCAAAGGACAUAGCAACUGCUACUGAAGAGAAGAUACCACCGAUACAUAGGCAACUCGAGGACCACAGGUUGAUGUUGUCUAUGAUUGAAUUGAAGGAGAAACAAAUGAAUCUGAGAAUCAGGGCCGUACCUGAACUUGAGAAAGAUAAUUUGAUUGACUUUCUUACGCAGGAAUUUGCAGACUUCUGGCAACUGGAUUUGGGGAAGGAAGAAUUUAAGAUAGUGAGUGCAUUCAGGCUUGGAAGAGGAGGAAAGAAGAACAAGGUGAGAGACUGUUUGAUUACCCUUCGAACAAAAGAGGAGAGAGACAAAAUCUUGAAUCUGCAUUUCCGAAAGACUCUGGAAAUACAUCAGUCAAGUGUGGAGAUAUUUAAGGACAUUCCAAAACAUCUUUUGGAUUUAAGGUUUAACUACGGAGAUCUGGUUGCCCUGUUGAGAAGCAAUAGAAUCAUCUUUAGGUGGGAAUUUCCCCAAGGCCUGUCUUUUAAAUAUAAAGGAAGAAAGAUAAAAAUAAGAUCAGUCGACGACAAAGAUAGAUUUCUGAAAGAUCACGGAGAAGACUUACAGAAAGAAGUGGAAUCUGGAGAAGAGCCAAGAGCACUGGAAAGAGGAAUACUAGACAUAGCAAAUUUAUCAUUUGGAUUGCAUGGUUCAGAGAAAGUGACACCACCGACAGAACAAGAACAAACACUUGGUGCAGUUGGAGGUAAAGCAAAGUAAUUACAUCAUGGCUCUGCAACUAUUAAGCUGGAAUUGUAAUGGCCUCAACUCUCCUCGGAAAAGGAAAAGUGUUUUUCAUUUACUAAAAAAGGAACAAUUGGACUUGAUUUGCUUACAGGAAACACACGUGAUAAGGCUACAUAGAAAAGUAUUGAUUAAUAAGAGAUUGGGACAGGAGUUUAUUUCAUCUGACAAAGUUAAAAAAAGAGGAGUAGUGAUUUAUGCAAAGGAGAGAUUAUCACCGAAAUUUAUCUUUAAAGACGAUCAAGGAAGAUUUGUGGCAAUUGAAAUUC
This is a non-coding RNA of Podarcis lilfordi (Lilford's wall lizard), 2998 nucleotides long. The record is from the annotation of a GenBank genome assembly. NCBI's taxonomy places the organism in Eukaryota, Metazoa, Chordata, Lepidosauria, Squamata, Lacertidae.